UGCUAUUAUCGCAUCGCUCACGUCGGCUAUCGGAUAGCAUGCGCCCAAACAAGGGAAUCGCUCCGGGUGCAAUCAGUCAAAGCUUUAAGCAGGCAAAAUUUUGAAGGAUCCCGGUAGUUGUGUCAGCAUGAAUUCGCCCAAAAUUCGGGCAUUAACCUCUACCCAAGAUUGUAAGUAAGCACGCGUGCUACUAUGAACUAACAUUGUAUUCCUGCACAUCGUUCCGAACUGAACACAUUGAAUGUGAGUACCUGGCCCUCAAGAAUCUUUUGGCUCUAACAGUGAGUUUUCUUUUCAAGAAAAUCAUAGUACGUCUCAAAAAAGUAUAGUCUGAGCAGUGAGCAUCUUCGAAGAGUGAACAAUUCUGGGAGAAAAAACUGUUGUAACCAGAUUAGAAUCGUACAAGAAGCUGAUCUUAGAAAAUCGCAAAUCAAUGAAUCUAAGAACAAUACUGUUGCGUCGAAGAUAUUGGGUAAUAUUCUCAGGAAGCUCAUUUUAUCAUUGAAAACUAAAUUGCCACCAAAUUUUGGAAAAUCACUAUCCAAUUACUUGAA
Long non-coding RNA from Bemisia tabaci, 554 nucleotides. RefSeq lists it as uncharacterized. The record is from RefSeq and is a predicted model, not a curated record. NCBI's taxonomy places the organism in Eukaryota, Metazoa, Arthropoda, Insecta, Hemiptera, Aleyrodidae.